Molecule: ribosomal RNA, 253 nt
Filed under: uncultured bacterium
Lineage: Bacteria
Description: partial 16S ribosomal RNA
Rfam family: Bacterial small subunit ribosomal RNA
Source: RNAcentral
UACAGAGGUCCCAAGCGUUGUUCGGAUUCACUGGGCGUAAAGGGUGCGCAGGUGGGUUGGCAAGUUCGAUGUGAAAGCCCCGGGCUUAACCCGGGAAUGGCAUUGAAAACUGUCGAUCUGGAGGAUUGGAGGGGGGACUGGAAUUCUUGGUGUAGCAGUGAAAUGCGUAGAUAUCAAGAGGAACACCAGUGGCGAAGGCGAGUCCCUGGACAAUACCUGACACUGAGGCACGAAAGCCGGGGGAGCAAACAGG